Molecule: long non-coding RNA, 1030 nt
Filed under: Macaca mulatta (Rhesus monkey)
Lineage: Eukaryota; Metazoa; Chordata; Mammalia; Primates; Cercopithecidae
Description: lncRNA (ENSMMUG00000052727.1)
Source: RNAcentral
UAUUCCCAAAGUCAGUUCAGAGGUGGAGUCAGGGGCCGGGCGUGGUGGUUCCCGCCUGUAAUCCCAGCACUUUGGGAGGUCGAGGAGGGCAGAUCAUGAGGUCAAGACAUGGAGAUCAUUCUGGCUAACACGGUGAAACCCCGUCUCUACUAAAAAUACAAAAACUAGCCGGGGGUGGUGGCGGCGCCUGUGGUCCCAGCUACUCGGGAGGCUGAGGCAGGAGAAUGGCGGGAACCUGGGGGGGCGGAGCUUGCAGGGAGCCAAGAUGGCGCCGCUCACUCCAGCCUGGGCCACAGACCCAGACUCCAUCUGAAAAACAAACGAACAAAGAGUUGGUUCUAGCUAAUUGGUGGAAACAGUCUUCUCUGUAAAGACUUUUGCCAUCUAAAGGAGUUUACCAGUGACAGCUCUUGACUGAUUAUCGUGGGGGGUGAUCGCCUCUUUGGAUGGAGGUGGGAGUGUGCUGGCCUGGAGCCAACGAGACACUGAGCUUUUGAAACUCUGUCUCACACUCCCUCCAUGGAGCUCAGCCACAGCUUUCUCUAGCACUUCGCUAACACCUUGAUACGUGAACCUCCAACUUGAUAUCUCAAGGUAUACCUUAGAUGGGGACUACUUUGAAAUCAGCCUUUUAUUUUAGUUUUUGAAAUAUUUUUAUCAUUUAAAGCUUUUUUAAGGAGGGGAUGAGAUGAAGCAAUUUCAAAAGUACACAGAACAAUACAGAGAGAACAUCCAUGUUUCCACCAUCUGUCACCCGGUCUCCAAAAGUAUCAACUCCUGACUAAUCUUGUUCGACGUUAAGUGAUUGCAGCAUUCAGUCAAUUCUUCAGUUUCCUAUUUCUGUGCCUCCAUACCUUCAUUUCCAAGACAGAAGUGUUUGGCAAUUUACUAGCCCCUGGGCAGCACUCCAACAGUCAUUGGCAGAGGUAGGGUAUAGAAGCAUAGCUCCUUUGUAUUGAAUCAGGAAGUCUCAAAGAUUUGUGUAUACUCUUGACUUCCAUUGCAGGAUUUUGCUAAUGCUACCUUCUGU